AACGAACGCUGGCGGCAUGCCUAACACAUGCAAGUCGAACGAGACCUUCGGGUCUAGUGGCGCACGGGUGCGUAACGCGUGGGAACCUGCCUUUAGGUUCGGAAUAACUCAGAGAAAUUUGAGCUAAUACCGGAUAAUGUCUUCGGACCAAAGAUUUAUCGCCUUUAGAUGGGCCCGCGUAAGAUUAGCUAGUUGGUGGGGUAAAGGCCUACCAAGGCGACGAUCUUUAGCUGGUCUGAGAGGAUGAUCAGCCACGCUGGGACUGAGACACGGCCCAGACUCCUACGGGAGGCAGCAGUGGGGAAUAUUGGACAAUGGGCGAAAGCCUGAUCCAGCAAUGCCGCGUGAGUGAUGAAGGCCUUAGGGUUGUAAAGCUCUUUUACCCGAGAUGAUAAUGACAGUAUCGGGAGAAUAAGCUCCGGCUAACUCCGUGCCAGCAGCCGCGGUAAU
Molecule: ribosomal RNA, 450 nt
Filed under: uncultured bacterium
Lineage: Bacteria
Description: bacterial SSU rRNA
Rfam family: Bacterial small subunit ribosomal RNA
Source: RNAcentral